UGCAUUUUAUCUUUAAUCCAGUACGAAACUAUCGAUGGCGUAAAACGCCUACGCCAAAAACGAAUUUAUUAAUUUAUAUGUAGCAGGUCUACCCACUAUAAAAAUAGAAGAAGAACGUAUACAAGAAGUUCGAGUGCCAGAAUGCAUAGAGGCGGUAGGAGAUGAAACAACUUUUGAGGUAAAUUUUGACGACGAUAACAAUGCAGAAACAACAUCAAUACAAAAUCCUUCAUCAUCAUCUAUUAAGGGGGGAAUAAAUUUAUAUAAAAUUAUUUCAGAUCAACCCUUCGUUAAGCCUUCACCUAGAUCGUGGAAAAACAUACGCGGUUUUAAAGAACCUCGUCUCCUAACUGAUAAAGACGAUAUUAAUCUUGACUCUAAGAAGAAAAAAUGUACUGCAUUGUUAGAUGACCCUUUAGAUGAAAAUACCUCUUCCAGCAAAAAUGAUUCUUUUGAACAGUGGGCAAAUAAAAAAAAACAAUUAUUGGAAUUGGAAGUUCUGGAAAUGCGUAACUAUAAAAUUAAAUUAGAACUGUGGGAAAAGGAACAUCAGUUAAACGUGAAAUCUUCGAAAUUCACCAGAGGUAUUGAAAUGACACGACAAUAGAUCCCAAAACUGAUGGGGACAUAAUUAAUUUUUUAAACAUAAACCAGCAUUUUUAAUUGCGAUUUAUACAUAUAUUAUUACAUAGGUGUAAGAAGAGAAAGCUCUGUUGCUUUUAUUACGAAUUUGACUUUCAUUUGAUUUAGUUUUAACUGACGUAAGCAGCAGACUUACAUUUUUGUAUUAAGCCGUGCGCCCACUAGCAAGUCACUUGCGGAAGAACUUCUGCAAGUAUUUGCUGAAGUGUUUCCACUCAAACCGAAACUUGGUAGUGGACACCAACAAACGUUACUCGCAUUGUGAUUGCUACUUAAGUAUACGUUUUUGUACUUUAACUUAUUUUUUUUAAUAUUGCUUAAACUAUUCAAAAUCUUCAAAAAAAAAAUAAAUGAAAGCUUUUAUUAGCCAU
Molecule: long non-coding RNA, 1013 nt
Organism: Calliphora vicina (urban bluebottle blowfly)
Lineage: Eukaryota; Metazoa; Arthropoda; Insecta; Diptera; Calliphoridae
Exons: 3
Source: RefSeq, a predicted model, not a curated record